CACCUACGGGGCGCAGCAGUAGGGAAUCUUCCACAAUGGGCGAAAGCCUGAUGGAGCAACGCCGCGUGAGUGAAGAAGGUUUUCGGAUCGUAAAGCUCUGUUGUUGGUGAAGAAGGAUAGAGGUAGUAACUGGCCCCUAUUUGACGGUAAUCAACCAGAAAGUCACGGCUAACUACGUGCCAGCAGCCGCGGUAAUACGUAGGUGGCAAGCGUUGUCCGGAUUUAUUGGGCGUAAAGCGAGCGCAGGCGGAAAGAUAAGUCUGAUGUGAAAGCCCCCGGCUUAACCGAGGAAUUGCAUCGGAAAC
RNAcentral lists this ribosomal RNA (305 nucleotides) under uncultured bacterium. RNAcentral's name for it is "bacterial SSU rRNA". It matches the Rfam family "Bacterial small subunit ribosomal RNA", at positions 335 to 633 of the family's 1533-position model. The record is from RNAcentral.